RNAcentral lists this ribosomal RNA (498 nucleotides) under uncultured bacterium. RNAcentral describes it as "partial 16S ribosomal RNA". It matches the Rfam family "Bacterial small subunit ribosomal RNA", at positions 28 to 508 of the family's 1533-position model. The record is from RNAcentral.
GAUGAACGCUGGCGGCGUGCCUAAUACAUGCAAGUCGAGCGAACAGAUGAGGAGCUUGCUCCUCUGACGUUAGCGGCGGACGGGUGAGUAACACGUGGAUAACCUACCUAUAAGACUGGGAUAACUUCGGGAAACCGGAGCUAAUACCGGAUAAUAUAUUGAACCGCAUGGUUCAAUAGUGAAGGACGGUUUUGCUGUCACUUAUAGAUGGAUCCGCGCCGCAUUAGCUAGUUGGUAAGGUAACGGCUUACCAAGGCAACGAUGCGUAGCCGACCUGAGAGGGUGAUCGGCCACACUGGAACUGAGACACGGUCCAGACUCCUACGGGAGGCAGCAGUAGGGAAUCUUCCGCAAUGGGCGAAAGCCUGACGGAGCAACGCCGCGUGAGUGAUGAAGGUCUUCGGAUCGUAAAACUCUGUUAUUAGGGAAGAACAAAUGUGUAAGUAACUAUGCACGUCUUGACGGUACCUAAUCAGAAAGCCACGGCUAACUACGUGC